CAAGUCGAGCGGAACGAUCCUAGCUUGCUAGGAGGCGUCGAGCGGCGGACGGGUGAGUAAUGCAUAGGAAUCUGCCCGGUAGUGGGGGAUAACCUGAGGAAACUCAGGCUAAUACCGCAUACGUCCUACGGGAGAAAGCAGGGGCUCUUCGGACCUUGCGCUAUCGGAUGAGCUUAUGUCGGAUUAGCUGGUUGGUGAGGUAACGGCUCACCAAGGCGACGAUCCGUAGCUGGUCUGAGAGGAUGAUCAGCCACAUCGGGACUGAGACACGGCCCGAACUCCUACGGGAGGCAGCAGUGGGGAAUAUUGGACAAUGGGGGCAACCCUGAUCCAGCCAUGCCGCGUGUGUGAAGAAGGCCCUCGGGUUGUAAAGCACUUUCAGUGAGGAAGAAGGCUUGUCGGUUAAUACCCGGCAAGAAAGACAUCACUCACAGAAGAAGCACCGGCUAACUCCGUGCCAGCAGCCGCGGUAAUACGGAGGGUGCGAGCGUUAAUCGGAAUACUGGGCGUAAAGCGUGCGUAGGCGGCUUGAUAAGCCGGUUGUGAAAGCCCCGGGCUCAACCUGGGAACGGCAUCCGGAACUGUCAGGCUAGAGUGCAGGAGAGGAAGGUAGAAUUCCCGGUGUAGCGGUGAAAUGCGUAGAGAUCGGGAGGAAUACCAGUGGCGAAGGCGGCCUUCUGGACUGACACUGACGCUGAGGUACGAAAGCGUGGGUAGCAAACAGGAUUAGAUACCCUGGUAGUCCACGCCGUAAACGAUGUCGACUAGCCGUUGGGGUCCUCGAGACCUUUGUGGCGCAGUUAACGCACUAAGUCGACCGCCUGGGGAGUACGGCCGCAAGGUUAAAACUCAAAUGAAUUGACGGGGGCCCGCACAAGCGGUGGAGCAUGUGGUUUAAUUCGAUGCAACGCGAAGAACCUUACCUACCCUUGACAUCGUGCGAACUUGGUAGAGAUACCUUGGUGCCUUCGGGAACGCACAGACAGGUGCUGCAUGGCUGUCGUCAGCUCGUGUUGUGAAAUGUUGGGUUAAGUCCCGUAACGAGCGCAACCCUUGUCCCUAUUUGCCAGCGAUUCGGUCGGGAACUCUAGGGAGACUGCCGGUGACAAACCGGAGGAAGGUGGGGACGACGUCAAGUCAUCAUGGCCCUUACGGGUAGGGCUACACACGUGCUACAAUGGCCGGUACAAUGGGUUGCAAAGCGGCGACGUGGAGCUAAUCCCAUAAAGCCGGUCUCAGUCCGGAUCGGAGUCUGCAACUCGACUCCGUGAAGUCGGAAUCGCUAGUAAUCGUGCAUCAGAAUGGCACGGUGAAUACGUUCCCGGGCCUUGUACACACCGCCCGUCACACCAUGGGAGUGGACUGCACCAGAAGUGGUUAGCCUAACUUCGGAGGGCG
Molecule: ribosomal RNA, 1398 nt
Filed under: Halomonas sp. SK61
Lineage: Bacteria; Pseudomonadati; Pseudomonadota; Gammaproteobacteria; Oceanospirillales; Halomonadaceae
Description: 16S ribosomal RNA
Rfam family: Bacterial small subunit ribosomal RNA
Source: RNAcentral